UACAGAGGUCCCAAGCGUUGUUCGGAUUCACUGGGCGUAAAGGGCGCGUAGGCGGCGCAAGCAGUCGAUCGUGAAAGUCCGGAGCUCAACUCCGGAUCGGCGGUCGAUACUCUCGUGCUUGAGCACUGUAGAGGCAGAUGGAAUUCCGGGUGUAGCGGUGGAAUGCGUAGAGAUCCGGAAGAACACCGGUGGCGAAGGCGGUCUGCUGGGCAGUUGCUGACGCUGAGGCGCGACAGCGUGGGGAGCAAACAGG
This 253-nucleotide ribosomal RNA is filed under the name uncultured bacterium. Its description in RNAcentral is "partial 16S ribosomal RNA". It matches the Rfam family "Bacterial small subunit ribosomal RNA", at positions 524 to 776 of the family's 1533-position model. The record is from RNAcentral.